GAACCAUCGCGGCCGCCGCCAGCCCGGCCCUCCGCGGCCGCGCGUCCUGGGCCCGUUCCGCCAGCCCCGUCUGCUCUCUACCCGCGGCCCCGCGGCGGCGACCGUGAAGACUCGGCGGCCCCUACAGCACGCUCUCGGCCCUCCGUCCCUCGCGGGCCCCGACUCUCCCUCCUCGCAGUCCCCCGGAGCCUGGCGCCCGGCUCGGGCCGCACCGCCAGGGACUGGGGUGAGCGGCCCAGAAAUCUCCAAAUUGGACAUCCAGAGCAGCAUUCUUGUUCUAUCUACGUCUUGAAUUAGAAACCACCAAGGCUCUGUAAGUCCUGAAAAGGAAAUAAAAGCAAUUUCCUGCUGCAGAGAGCAUUUUAAGAAAGGACAGUGUUCCUGUGACCUCUGCCUACCAUCCAUAAAAUACUCAUUCCCCUCUCAGCUCUGCCUACAGUUGAACACAAAGACCUGGAGGAGACUCCCACCUCCUUCAGGGAGAAGAAAGGAGGCAGCGAAGCAGAUUAAAGGAACUUGUGGCUUGUGGCCUUUUUGUGCAAGGGCUGCCUGGAAGGGGAGAAAAGUGCAUGAAAGCCACCGUGGCGGUUAAUGAGCUGUGAGAUGAGGCGCUGCUGCGGCCGCUGCUGCUGACACUCGCUCCCAGGCUGCACCCGCCGCCCUUGGCGCUUCAUGUACAUGUGUCUAUUCAGGCCGUGCGGAGGCGCCCAGAAGAGCAUCCAACACGGCUG
Molecule: long non-coding RNA, 731 nt
Filed under: Pongo abelii (Sumatran orangutan)
Lineage: Eukaryota; Metazoa; Chordata; Mammalia; Primates; Hominidae
Description: lncRNA (ENSPPYG00000039833.1)
Source: RNAcentral